ACCUGGCAAUCUCCCACCUGUAGAGCAUUAAUAUAGUGUAUAUAACAGCAGAUUUAUGACUUGUUCCAAAGACAAGCAUGAAACUAUAUCUUUUCCUUUUACUGAGAGGGCCUCUGCAUGAGAUGAACUAAUACAUUACUGUAGCCUAACAUACUUGUUAGUUAUUUUCCCUUCCUGAAUUAAAAAAUUGAAUUAUGUACACUCAGUCUAGUUACUGAACCUGUAAAGUUUAUUAAAGUUUAUCGACCAUGUGUAUACACUUCAGGAUUUAGGUUCAAUUGCUUCUUUCAAGCUGGAACAUUGAAUUAAGAUGCAGUGCCUUGCUGUGGCUCUCAUGGACUCCAACUGAGCUACAGCUUGGAUGCCCAGUUGAAGAGGAGUUCAUUCUGCCAUCCUGAAGUUGGCUUCUGCCUUGGGAAGACAGUCCUGGAAGACCACAGUGUGUGGCUGUAGACAGACAUUUUACAUAAUUUUCUUAUGUUUUGAGUCUGUUAUUAUGACUGCUAUCAUUUUUAACAGGAACUCGACCUAAAGUUCUAACUGCUGAGCAUCCAUUCCUUGCACAAAACUCUACUGUACUCCAUAACUGUCACUGCUGGAUAACUUUCCUUUUACAAGAGACAUCGGGGGAAGGAGUGUAUUAUAACAUCUCGGAGAUGCAGAGGAGAUAAGAUUCAAAAGACACAAAGGAUUACGGUUACACCUAUGCUAUAGUUCGCUGACUCCUCGGAUUACAUCAUACUGCAAGAAAAGGUCAUC
Molecule: long non-coding RNA, 759 nt
Filed under: Cyanistes caeruleus (blue tit)
Lineage: Eukaryota; Metazoa; Chordata; Aves; Passeriformes; Paridae
Description: lncRNA (ENSCCEG00000013987.1)
Source: RNAcentral